Molecule: transfer RNA, 86 nt
Filed under: Escherichia sp. E2586
Lineage: Bacteria; Pseudomonadati; Pseudomonadota; Gammaproteobacteria; Enterobacterales; Enterobacteriaceae
Description: tRNA-Leu
Source: RNAcentral
GCGAAGGUGGCGGAAUUGGUAGACGCGCUAGCUUCAGGUGUUAGUGUCCUUGACGGAGGGUGGGUCAAGUCCCCCCCCUCGCACCA